Regulatory RNA element from Halanaeroarchaeum sulfurireducens, 100 nucleotides. It matches the Rfam family "L4-Archaeoglobi ribosomal protein leades". The record is from Rfam. Lineage: Archaea; Methanobacteriati; Methanobacteriota; Halobacteria; Halobacteriales; Halobacteriaceae.
CUGACGGGCGCGUUCGGGUCAAUUGCGGAUUGCAACACCCAAUCUCCCUCCACGUCCCGCCCUCGAUGGCGGUCGCGGAGGGGGAACGCGUGACCAUCAG